GGUCUUAUAGUGUAGUUGGUUAGCACACGGGAUUCUGACUUUCAAGAAGCUUCCCGGGACCCCGGUUCGAGUCCGGGUAGGACCU
This is a non-coding RNA of Trichodelitschia bisporula, 85 nucleotides long. The record is from the annotation of a GenBank genome assembly. Lineage: Eukaryota; Fungi; Ascomycota; Dothideomycetes; Phaeotrichales; Phaeotrichaceae.